Molecule: long non-coding RNA, 277 nt
Filed under: Ananas comosus (pineapple)
Lineage: Eukaryota; Viridiplantae; Streptophyta; Magnoliopsida; Poales; Bromeliaceae
Description: long non-coding RNA (ACOM_LNC042571)
Source: RNAcentral
CAUACAUAUAUAGCAGCUAAUAACUUGUGAUGCACCAAAAUGCAUAAUGUCAGUCUAAACUUCAACAAAAAAUAAGAAAAAGAAAUUCACGAGUACUUUACUAAACAAAAUGUGACUCGUCUUUUAAUCCAUUGAGUUCUUAAGUAAACAAAAUAUGAUUGUUGUCUUUCACUGGUUGCAUUUAAACGGUUCGCCCAUGAAGAUUGGUUUGUGGUUCAUGACUUGAAUUUGAUGACCGAAUGUUAGGAGAAGAACAAUUUGCACUACCAUGAUCUAC